UCGAGAAUCAUUCGCAAUGGGCGAAAGCCUGACGAUGCGACGCCGUGUGAGCGAUGAAGGCCUUCGGGUCGUAAAGCUCUUUCGCCUGGGAACAAGAGAAGCCGGCUAAUAUCCGGCGGAUUUGAGGGUACCAGGUAAAGAAGCACCGGCUAACUCCGUGCCAGCAGCUGCGGUAAUACGGAGGGUGCAAGCAUUAAUCGGAUUUAUUGGGCGUAAAGGGCGCGUAGGCGGAUUGUUAAGUCAGAUGUGAAAUCCCGGGGCUCAACCUCGGAACAGCAUUUGAAACUACCGAUCUAGAGGGUAGGCGGAGAAAACGGAAUUCCACAAGUAGCGGUGAAAUGCGUAGAUAUGUGGAAGAACACCGGUGGCGAAGGCGGUUUUCUAGCUUACUCCUGACGCUGAGGCGCGAAAGCAAGGGGAUCAAACAGGAUUAGAUACCCGCGUAGUCC
RNAcentral lists this ribosomal RNA (449 nucleotides) under uncultured bacterium. RNAcentral describes it as "bacterial SSU rRNA". It matches the Rfam family "Bacterial small subunit ribosomal RNA", at positions 355 to 796 of the family's 1533-position model. The record is from RNAcentral.